Molecule: ribosomal RNA, 254 nt
Filed under: uncultured bacterium
Lineage: Bacteria
Description: partial 16S ribosomal RNA
Rfam family: Bacterial small subunit ribosomal RNA
Source: RNAcentral
UACGGAGGAUGCAAGCGUUAUCCGGAAUCAUUGGGCGUAAAGCGUCCGCAGGUGGUGAUGCAAGUCUAUUGUCAAAGAGCGAGGCUCAACCUCGUCAAGGCGGUGGAAACUGCAAACACUAGAGUGCGGUAGGGGUAGAGGGAAUUCCCAGUGUAGCGGUGAAAUGCGUAGAGAUUGGGAAGAACACCGGUGGCGAAAGCGGCCAUCUGGACGGAUACUGACGCUGAGACGCGAAAGCGUGGGGAGCAAACAGG